Molecule: ribosomal RNA, 256 nt
Filed under: uncultured bacterium
Lineage: Bacteria
Description: partial 16S ribosomal RNA
Rfam family: Bacterial small subunit ribosomal RNA
Source: RNAcentral
AGGGAGGCAAGGCCGCGAGGUGGAGCGAAUCCCUAAAAGCCGUCCCAGUUCGGAUUGCAGGCUGCAACCCGCCUGCAUGAAGUUGGAAUCGCUAGUAAUCGCGGAUCAGCAUGCCGCGGUGAAUACGUCCCGGGCCUUGUACACACCGCCCGUCACACCAUGAGAGUCGGGGACACCCGAAGUCCGUAGUCUAACCGCAAGGAGGACGCCGCCUAAGGUGGGAUUGAUGACUGGGGUGAAGUCGUAACAAGGUACC